RNAcentral lists this long non-coding RNA (239 nucleotides) under Elaeis guineensis (African oil palm). RNAcentral's name for it is "long non-coding RNA (EGUI_LNC037529)". Lineage: Eukaryota; Viridiplantae; Streptophyta; Magnoliopsida; Arecales; Arecaceae. The record is from RNAcentral.
UUGUGGGCAGAUAGGAGACAAGGUGGAUCGCACUAUUGAGUUCGUGACGAUGGCGACCGCCAACAUGAAUUGGGCGAGGGGCUCACACUCGACACCUUCUUGUAAUUAGAGGUCACCGUGCGGUCUCAUUUUCCUGUGACCCACGCCGUUGGACUGCUUCCUAUUCUGCUGAGAUCGAGACCAUUAAUCAGAGUAUUAAACGAAGGCCGGAGAGUCCUAAGAAAUUGUGUGGUCUCCCG